RNAcentral lists this transfer RNA (63 nucleotides) under Archispirostreptus gigas (African giant black millipede). RNAcentral's name for it is "tRNA-Phe". The record is from RNAcentral. Lineage: Eukaryota; Metazoa; Arthropoda; Diplopoda; Spirostreptida; Spirostreptidae.
GUUUAAAUAGCUUAAUUUAAAGCGAGGCUUUGAAGAGGCCUAGAUGAUUUCUGUCUUUAGACA